GGGGAUUUAGCUCAGUGGUAGAGCGCUUGCCUAGCAAGCGCAAGGCCCUGGGUUCAGUCCCCAGCUCCCCCA
RNAcentral lists this transfer RNA (72 nucleotides) under Rattus norvegicus (Norway rat). It matches the Rfam family "tRNA". Rfam says of the family: Transfer RNA (tRNA) molecules are approximately 80 nucleotides in length. Their secondary structure includes four short double-helical elements and three loops (D, anti-codon, and T loops). The record is from Rfam by way of RNAcentral. Lineage: Eukaryota; Metazoa; Chordata; Mammalia; Rodentia; Muridae.